ACCCUGCAAUCAAAUAGAUUGUCCCAAGGGCGCCACAUUCUAGGAGCCCAAGUUAUGCUACUGAAAAUUCGUUCCUCUAGCAGUUCCGGUUUGAGCAUUCCGUUCCCUUUUUCAAACUCCACUUCUUUUCAUAUAGCAUACCUAAUCAAAGAGAGAACAAUAUCCAUUUCAAAACAUUUCUAACAGAUUCCUUAAUUUGGACUGACGAAGUAA
This 213-nucleotide ribosomal RNA is filed under the name Triticum aestivum (bread wheat). RNAcentral's name for it is "partial small subunit ribosomal RNA". Lineage: Eukaryota; Viridiplantae; Streptophyta; Magnoliopsida; Poales; Poaceae. The record is from RNAcentral.